AUGAAUAAAGAAUCUUCAGCCACACGUAUAGUUGCACUUAAAACUCCAGGAAUGAGAAUUAAUCCUGCUUACAAUUCCAUUUUGAGGUUGUCUAGCAAACAGUCACCUGCAAGGGAAAGUAGCAUCUUGAUUCAGGGAACAUGUUCUUCUGAAGCUAGAAAUAGCACAAAUGGACACUUCAGUCCUGACACUGCAUUACGUACUAAAAGUAGAAGCUGGAUUCAGGAAAAUGUUCAGCAUAACCGCUCACUCAAGUUUCAAUGUGUUCAUCACAUAUGCUUCCUGUGCUCAACUGACUAUACACAUGCAUCUUCCAAAUUUGUACUCAUUUUUAGCCGAGUACAAAUGAAAUAA
Molecule: ribosomal RNA, 354 nt
Filed under: Triticum aestivum (bread wheat)
Lineage: Eukaryota; Viridiplantae; Streptophyta; Magnoliopsida; Poales; Poaceae
Description: partial small subunit ribosomal RNA
Source: RNAcentral